GCCGGGUGUGGUGGCUCACACCUGUAAUCCCAGCACUUUGGGAGGUUGAGGUGGGUGGAUCACUUGAGGUCAGGAGAUCGAGACCUGCCUGACCAACAUGGUGAAACCCCAUCUCUA
Molecule: unclassified non-coding RNA, 117 nt
Organism: Macaca mulatta (Rhesus monkey)
Lineage: Eukaryota; Metazoa; Chordata; Mammalia; Primates; Cercopithecidae
Rfam family: Metazoan signal recognition particle RNA
About the family: The signal recognition particle (SRP) is a universally conserved ribonucleoprotein. It is involved in the co-translational targeting of proteins to membranes.
Source: Ensembl